CUACGGGAGGCAGCAGUAGGGAAUAUUAGUAAUGGGCGAAAGCCUGAACUAGCAACGCCGCGUGUGCGAAGAAGGCCUUCGGGUUGUAAAGCACUUUUUGAGAGGAUGAGGAAGGACGGUACUCUCAGAAUAAGUCUCGGCUAACUACGUGCCAGCAGCCGCGGUAACACGUAGGAGGCAAACGUUAUCCGGAUUUACUGGGCGUAAAGCGCGUGUAGGUGGUUUGGUAAGUAGGGCGUGAAAGCUCCUGGCUCAACUGGGAGAGGACGUCCUAAACUGCCAAGCUUGAGGAUGGUAGAGGGAGGUGGAAUUCCGGGUGUAGCGGUGGAAUGCGCAGAUAUCCGGAGGAACACCAGUGGCGAAGGCGGCCUCCUGGACCACUCCUGACACUCAGACGCGAAAGCUAGGGUAGCAAACGGGAUUAGAAACCCCAGUAGUCC
Molecule: ribosomal RNA, 440 nt
Filed under: uncultured bacterium
Lineage: Bacteria
Description: bacterial SSU rRNA
Rfam family: Bacterial small subunit ribosomal RNA
Source: RNAcentral